This 516-nucleotide ribosomal RNA is filed under the name uncultured cyanobacterium. RNAcentral describes it as "bacterial SSU rRNA". It matches the Rfam family "Bacterial small subunit ribosomal RNA", at positions 518 to 1032 of the family's 1533-position model. The record is from RNAcentral. Lineage: Bacteria; Bacillati; Cyanobacteriota.
CGGUAAUACGGGAGAGGCGAGCGUUAUCCGGAAUUAUUGGGCGUAAAGCGUCCGCAGGUGGCCGAUUAAGUCUGUCGUCAAAUCGUGGAGCUCAACUCCAUACACGCGAUGGAAACUGGUUGGCUAGAGUACGGUAGGGGUAGCGGGAAUUCCAGGUGUAGCGGUGAAAUGCGUAGAUAUCUGGAAGAACACCAGCGACGAAAGUGCGCUACUGGGCCUGUACUGACACUCAUGGACGAAAGCCAGGGGAGCGAAAGGGAUUAGAUACCCCUGUAGUCCUGGCCGUAAACGAUGAACACUAGGUGUUGCGCGAAUCGACCCGUGCAGUGCCGUAGCCAACGCGUUAAGUGUUCCGCCUGGGGAGUACGCACGCAAGUGUGAAACUCAAAGGAAUUGACGGGGGCCCGCACAAGCGGUGGAGUAUGUGGUUUAAUUCGAUGCAACGCGAAGAACCUUACCAAGGCUUGACAUCCCCCGAAUCUCUGGGAAACCGGAGAGUGCCUUCGGGAGCGGGGA